UAGUCUACACUGUAAAUUCUGAGUGCUGUAAUUUAGUUAUUUAAACUGGAUUUUUUAAGCUAACGCUAUAAGCACUCCGCCUGAGGAGUACGAUCGCAAGGUUGGAACUCAAAGGAAUUGACGGGGACCUACUACUAGUGGUGGAGCAUGUGGUUUAAUUCGAUGCAACGCGAAGAACCUUACCUACUCCUGACAUCCUCAGAAUUUUCCAGAGAUGGAUUAGUGCCUUCGGGAACUGAGAGACAGGUGCUGCAUGGCUGUCGUCAGCUCGUGUUGUGAAAUGUUGGGUUAAGUCCCGCAACGAGCGCAACCCUUAUCCUUAUUUGCCAGCACGUAAUGGUGGGAACUUUAGGGAGACUGCCGGUGAUAAACCGGAGGAAGGUGGGGACGACGUCAAGUCAUCAUGGCCCUUACGAGUAGGGCUACACACGUGCUACAAUGGCGAGUACAGAGGGUUGCGAAGCCGCGAGGUGGAGCUAAUCUCAUAAAAGCUCGUCGUAGUCCGGAUUGG
This 511-nucleotide ribosomal RNA is filed under the name uncultured bacterium. RNAcentral describes it as "bacterial SSU rRNA". It matches the Rfam family "Bacterial small subunit ribosomal RNA", at positions 791 to 1301 of the family's 1533-position model. The record is from RNAcentral.